GAUGGGUUAAGAAGGGGGAUAUGAUUAUCCUCCCAGGAGGAAUCUAUCAUCGAUUUACCCUGACACAAACAACUACAUUAAUAUCCUGAGGCUUUUCUAGGGCGAGCUAGUCUGGACAACAUACAAUCGUCCUUGUGAGGAGCAUCCUGCUAGGUUAUUUUUUCUCAAAAGAUUCCUUUGAUUCUACCGAAAGCAAACGAUGCUAAUAUAAAGAAAUGCAAGUGGCACGCUGUUCAAGAUAAAGUUCUGAAAGUAUGGAUUGUUGUGCGUUCUUACACUCCUGAAUAUAUAAUUGCCAAGUCACCGUUGAGCUCUUCUGCUGCAGUCAUACUCUGGUUUCUCAUUGGAAGUUCAAUGAUACGAUGGUUAUUGAGUGGCCCAUCUGUUAAGACACAUGGGGCCUUCAAUUUGUUGAAGUUAUCAGUGACUCUUCUACAAGUCAUAUUCAUCGUGAUAGGCUGGGCAAUCGUGACAUGGAGAUCAGGGAUAGCUACAGGAUUUUACCUUAGAUGACAUAAGGAGACAUGUCCGACCAUUUGUAGUGUUGAAGAUUUCUGGACAAGGAACAUUAAAGAUUUGAUACGGGCUAAAGAAAUCAAGAUUCGUCCUGCAGAAAGGCUCGAUGCAGAAGUUCAAAAUCUUGUUGUUAAACAACCCACUAAAAACAUGAUCCCAUUGACUCUCUUUUUUCUGCUGCUAUUACAAUGGCUAACAGUGCGAUUCAACAAACUAUGCUGGAUCAUCUGGGUUAAUAUUUUUCAACGUAAAUAUGUGAAUCGUUUGUGUUGGAUGAUGCCCAAUCAAAGUGAAAAGGAGUUAGAAAGGCUGUCAAAUUAUGAAAAGGUUUUGGAAGGCCUGGAGAUGUUAAGUGAGACACCAGAAAGGCUCUGGAUAGCUAAUAAAAAGUCCAUUGCAAGAGCAAAAGAACUUAUAACACAAGGCAAUGAAGGCAUUGGAUAGCCUCUGGAUCUCAGCACUUUCGAUCCUAACAGCCCAGGUGAAGAAUUCAAUUACUUGUCGAAAAUUAAAGUUGAUAAGCCCUUAGAGGUGGAGAAACAGUUUGUAGAAGCCACUAAAACAUCUUGGAAAAUGACAGUAGUUUCCUUGAUCAAUAUCAUCAUUCAACUCUCUCCAAUCUCUAAUUAUAAUUCAGAAUGCUCAUUUGAUACUUCCGAUCACAUGUCUCAUGAUUUUCCUCCCAAAUAUGAAAAGGAUUCUCUCAAAGCAUACUCUCAAGCAUGGGAAAUACUAGAUUUUAUUGAUUCCCAGGAAGAUGACAGUAUCAUGCGUGAGGCCGUUGACAACCUCUUCUUCAGCCUACAAACAAAUGUGGAAAAAGGAGUUCUUCCCCCUAAGAGAAAUUUUCAUUGGACACCUAAAUGCUCGUCUAGAGCAAUUCAUGAACUUGCAGAGAAAAGAAAAGAAAAAGUAUAUAACCCCCGAGGUAUGGACAUUAUGUCAGCCUUGGUUAAUAAAGUUGGACAAAAAGGAAGGAGAACAGAAAGGCUGAGUCUGUAGAUUUGGAGACCGCGGGAGCCUAUGAUUCCAUGGACUGGAGGGAGGUUGCAGGGGAAAAUGCUAUGUACAAGUUAUGCAAAAGUAUUCCUUGUGACACUGAUCCCGAUCCUCGCCAAUUGUUCGACGAGUUACAACGUACAUUAGGAGAAAUCAUAAUUGGUGCCAUUGAAAAAGCCAAGCUCAUGAUAGUGGAAAAAUGCAGUAAAUGGGCCAAAUACUCUGAUGAAAAUAACAUAGCGAGGGCACUCUACAUCACGGGGAAAGCCACGUGGCUGACCAAGGUGGACCGUUCAAAGCAGCCUUAGACUGCUCAUUGAAUUCUACCUACAUUUGUUAGGAUUUAUUGUCCAAGUGUUAUUUCUCUCAAGUUCGGAUGGGUUUGUUUUUUGUCCUUGUUUUGUGGGUGGGGUUGUCCAAGAUCAUGAAUGUUAAAGGUACAUGGUCACAUUUUUAA
Molecule: long non-coding RNA, 1972 nt
Organism: Cryptomeria japonica (Japanese cedar)
Lineage: Eukaryota; Viridiplantae; Streptophyta; Pinopsida; Cupressales; Cupressaceae
Exons: 3
Source: RefSeq, a predicted model, not a curated record